GGCAGCUCGCGCAUCACACUCUCUACCAGACAGCUGACGUCCGGUGCUUUUGAGGAGGAUUUGCUCCGCCGGAGGCUCCCUGGUCGCAGUGUUGCAACUAUUGCGGGAUUUGGCCGUGGGAUUGGUGAAUCCCUC
Long non-coding RNA from Notothenia coriiceps (black rockcod), 135 nucleotides. RefSeq lists it as uncharacterized. Lineage: Eukaryota; Metazoa; Chordata; Actinopteri; Perciformes; Nototheniidae. The transcript has 3 exons. The record is from RefSeq and is a predicted model, not a curated record.